RNAcentral lists this unclassified non-coding RNA (530 nucleotides) under Nostoc desertorum CM1-VF14. The record is from RNAcentral. Lineage: Bacteria; Bacillati; Cyanobacteriota; Cyanophyceae; Nostocales; Nostocaceae.
UAAUAGGGAGACCAAAUCAAUUAAAAAUGAAAGAUGAAAAAUUAAAAAUGAAUCGAUAGUAAUUUUUCAUUUUUAAUUUCUAAUUUUUAAUUGAUUCAUCCCAGGUCGGUCGAGAUUGGUGCAAAGGCUUUCAAACAUUCACACUUGGUUCCAGUCAAAUCCAAGUGUGGUGGAACCAACCAUUAACAGGUUCGGUUCUGCCCACUGGUGAGACACCAAGACUUUAGUACAUUAGUAUUAAUGACGAAAGAGCCAGGUAUAUCGAACUUCGAGGGUAGUGAUAACAACUCACAUGAAAAAGUUCGGUUUUGCCCACUGAUGAUCUGCUCUUUAAACAGUACAUUAGUAUUAUUGGAAUUGAACCAAGUAAAUCAAACUUCUUCAGCACCUUAUCUAGUAAAGCUAGAGANAAUGCUGGAUGAGUAAUCCAGACAGAACCUUGAAAAUUACAUAGUAACUUGUCAGGUAAAAAGCAUUGAUUGUUAAUAGUUAACAGUCAAUAGCGAUCGCAGACACCAAUUGUUGAUUGU